Molecule: long non-coding RNA, 647 nt
Filed under: Homo sapiens (human)
Lineage: Eukaryota; Metazoa; Chordata; Mammalia; Primates; Hominidae
Description: non-protein coding USP3-AS1:3
Source: RNAcentral
CGCUCACGUUGCGGCAGAAGUCCACGUGCAAUGUCUGCAGCGCGCGCCCGUCCGCCGCCACGGCAGCCAACGUGCGGUUGGUGACGCGCGCGCAGUUCUCCAGGCGCAGUGCGCGCAGGCGUGGGCAGCAGCGCAGCAGGCGCGCCAGGCAGUCGUCGGUAACGUGGCCGCAGCCCGAGAGCGUGACGGACGCCAGGUUGGGGCACCUGUGAGGAGAGUGCGGUGACCCGGGGCUCACUGGCUUGUUAAAGCUACCCAACCGCCCCAUGGGACCGAGUGGACUCAUUUACCGAGGAGGACUCGGGCCCUGCGAGGUCACUUCAUCCUGGCCCAGGUACUGCAGCUCCAAAUCGUGGGGAUUCUGUAAGAGCUUGCUACCUGUUGACUGAGGAGGCCCACGAGUUGAGCAAAAAGAAUGAUUCCUCAGCAGUCAUUGUGAAAUUUUGUGGGCCACAAGUAUUGUGCACACAUGAUCCUUGAUUUAGAGUCAACCUGAUGUCCAUUAUAGCUGUGGAAAGGCAGCAGGCAGUUGUGUCGCUCUUCACAAUAAGGAACACAUCUUGCUUUCAGCAUGUGAGAGGAACAAAAGCAUUGAUGUAAAUGUGCCUCAAAGUGAGAACUGAAAACAUUAACAUAAAAUAAAAAAG